RNAcentral lists this ribosomal RNA (274 nucleotides) under uncultured bacterium. RNAcentral's name for it is "partial 16S ribosomal RNA". It matches the Rfam family "Bacterial small subunit ribosomal RNA", at positions 523 to 796 of the family's 1533-position model. The record is from RNAcentral.
AUACGGAGGGUGCAAGCGUUAUCCGGAAUCAUUGGGUUUAAAGGGUCCGUAGGCGGACUAUUAAGUCAGAGGUGAAAUCGCACAGCUCAACUGUGGAACUGCCUUUGAUACUGGUAGUCUUGAGUUAUAUGGAAGUAGAUAGAAUGUGUAGUGUAGCGGUGAAAUGCAUAGAUAUUACACAGAAUACCGAUUGCGAAGGCAGUCUACUACGUAUAUACUGACGCUAAGGGACGAAAGCGUGGGGAGCGAACAGGAUUAGAAACCCGGGUAGUCC